GGCCAAAUUUUCACUGCAGCUUUUCAAGUAAGAACAUAAGGCUGUGGCCUCAGAAGUAAGGAGUACCCCGAAUCUGCUCACCUGGGUGUCCCUGAGGAAGGUCAGAUGCCACAUGAGGAGCUGCAAGAACAACAGUCCUCUGAAGAUGCAGUCUGAUCUUGUAUGGCACCAAACCCCUUCUGUGAAAUGCCAAGGAUCUCAAAUUCUGAUGCAUGAAGAAUUCUGAACACCACAAGAAAUUCUCCUCAUGGGUCUUAAUGAUGCUUUUUGGACUAAAAUCAAAUGUGGGAAGAAUAUGAACAACUAAUUGCUGGCUGUUCAAUCUCACUGAAUAUAAGCAAAUUUAUAG
Molecule: long non-coding RNA, 349 nt
Organism: Cygnus olor (mute swan)
Lineage: Eukaryota; Metazoa; Chordata; Aves; Anseriformes; Anatidae
Exons: 3
Source: RefSeq, a predicted model, not a curated record